UGGGGAAUAUUGCACAAUGGGGGAAACCCUGAUGCAGCGACGCCGCGUGAACGAAGAAGGUAUUCGUAUCGUAAAGUUCUGUCCUAUGGGAAGAUAAUGACAGUACCAUAGAAGAAAGCUCCGGCUAAAUACGUGCCAGCAGCCGCGGUAAUACGUAUGGAGCGAGCGUUGUCCGGAAUUAUUGGGCGUAAAGGGUACGCAGGCGGUUUAAUAAGUCGAAUGUUAAAGAUCGGGGCUCAACCCCGCAAAGCAUUGGAAACUGAUAAACUUGAGUAGUGGAGAGGAAAGUGGAAUUCCUGGUGUAGUGGUGAAAUACGUAGAUAUUAGGAGGAAUACCAGUAGCGAAGGCGACUUUCUGGACACAAACUGACGCUGAAGUACGAAAGCGUGGGGAGCAAACAGG
Molecule: ribosomal RNA, 403 nt
Filed under: bacterium
Lineage: Bacteria
Description: partial 16S ribosomal RNA
Rfam family: Bacterial small subunit ribosomal RNA
Source: RNAcentral